Molecule: ribosomal RNA, 218 nt
Filed under: uncultured bacterium
Lineage: Bacteria
Description: partial 16S ribosomal RNA
Rfam family: Bacterial small subunit ribosomal RNA
Source: RNAcentral
UACGUAGGGUGCAAGCGUUGUCCGGAAUUAUUGGGCGUAAAGAGCUCGUAGGCGGCUUGUCGCGUCUGCUGUGAAAACUCAGGGCUUAACCCUGAGCCUGCAGUGGGUACGGGCAGACUAGAGUGUGGUAGGGGAGACUGGAAUUCCUGGUGUAGCGGUGAAAUGCGCAGAUAUCAGGGAGGAACACCGGUGGGCCGAAAGGCGGGUCUCGUGGGCCA